CUGAUAUAAAAACAAUGUUUGAUCAAUGCUGAGAAGUAAGCAAACUUCAUUUUUUGAUAAUAUUUUACUCCAUACAUACUUGAACUGAAAAACCUAACAUGAGGUAUUGUCAAAAUAACAUCGAUCUUAAUCUGGCGAUAAUAGAGAUCAAAAGCAUAUUAGGCAGACAUGCGCUAACAGAUGCAUGAAACUCAUGGGCUGCUAGGUAGAGGUGGUGGUGGUGGUGGAGAUAGUAAAUGUGGUGAUGAUUGCAGCAGCCCAACACGAGGUGGUGGCACAGAAAAUGAACCCGCCUUCCCAUGCAAAGGAGGAGGAGGAGGAGGACUCCCAACUUUAUCUGGGUAUACCUUCUUCUGCUCCAACAAUCGAUUUGAAACAGCGGCCACAAAAUCCGUAUCAGAAGCAGCUUCUAAGGGUCGUGCCAUCGCCACAUAGCUCUUACCUGUGUGACUGAUCUGCAACACCACACUAUGGAUUAAUAUAACUAAAAGCAAGAAAAGGGCAUUCAUUGCAGUCACUUUGCUAUGGCAUUAUGCUUGAUCUUAUGUAUAUAUUAUAUAGAUGGAGAGGUCAAUUAGUUGACUCAUUGCUCGAGAAAUAUCAGAUAUGUUAACAAACCCAAAUCGCACGUCUUUGAAUAAAUAGGACAAACUAGAAAUUUAAAGAAUUCUCACGCCACCGAUUUCCAAUAUUUGACGGCUUUCGACGACUUCAGUGUAGGAAUUUGAAAACAUAUUGUUUGAAGUAGACGUCAUUAAUUGGCCAUAUCAAAAUUGUGUGGUCUAAUAAUUCAUCGCAUGGUUCUUUCGAUGAACACGAAAGAGAUGGUGCACAAAAAUUCCAAGUCAAGCAAAGAAUUAAAUCGCAUGGACUUGGAUGAUACUGCUUCGAAGAAGAAAUUAAAGAGAUGAAAUUAUAUUUUCAUACGUUUCAAAUACUCAAGUCCAAAUAGUAGGAAGAAGAAGUUGCUGAAGAGUUUACAAUUUAUUAUUAUUUAUAUUUACUUAUACAAAAAUUUAUUCAUAAAUUUCUUUUGAUUUUAAUACUCUUUAUAUAUAAAAAAAAAAUAGAAAACUUCAAAAACAAUAUGUGGAAAUCAAAUAGUAAAUUUUCAUCUAAUUAAUUUGGUUGACUUAUAACUAAGGUUUGACUUAAUAAAUAUUAUUAUUAUUAUACAACUAAGCUCGGUGCUUAUUUGAUUUUUUCUGUUGCAAAUAAGAACUUUUGUGGAGUAAAAGAAAGAGGUUUGAUAUUUUGAUAGAAGAAAUACAAUCCAGAUAUAACAAGACCCUUGCUAUUUUCCCUAGAAAUUUUGGCUAUUGACCAGGAAGUAUAGAAUCAUAAUCCUAAUAGUUGAACUCUGAAUAUGGAACUGGAACCAGCUACUGAAUUACCAUAAUAUAUGAUAAAAGGACUUAAAGCUUAAUUUGCCAAGUCAAUAUAUAUAAAAACUCUUAUAUUGUUCUUACUCAAAUUAACUUUAAAUCAUUUACUUUUAAAAUUAGCUAUUAUUAACUCUAGUUAGUCAUAAUUCCCAUUUUAUUUUUUAUUUUUUUCUUUUUGAACUUCUUCAUAAGAAGAAACAUGAGACAUAAAUUUAGCAAUAUUCUUCUUGGAUUAUAUUCUUCCUGAAUUUGGAGAUACUUGAUUUAUUAGUUUGAAUUUGAUAACAACCAUGGUUAUAACUGGUUUUAAUUUCAGUAAGAAAUCUAAAAGAAAUCUACUGGUGGUGGUGAUGCAACAGGUUUAGGUGGUGCCGGGCGGGGAAUAUUCCAACCAAUGUAGCGGGAGGUCUGUGGAAGAGGCCUUCCUAUGAGAUUUCCAAGUCGAUCUGGGUAAGCCUUUAUUUUCUCAGAUGAUCAAUUUGAAGCAACUGAAACAAAGCCCACAUCGGAGAAGGCUCGGAUGGGUCGGGCCAUUGCAACAAAGCUCUUCCCUACUUGACUAGGUUGCAAUACCAUGGAAUAUUAGCAAAAGUAGAAGCAAGAAAGCAGAAGAAGAAUCCAUUUCUAUUGCAAUAUACUCGAUUAUAAAUUAUUACGUAGAGAUAGAGAUGUUUCACAUCGUAUAUGCUAUCUCUAUUUAAUCCAGGACCCAAGACUUCUAAAUGAAUAAGCGCCUUUCAUUCUUUUGGAAUUUGUCAAAACAAAUGGGACAAACUAAAAAAGGAUUCCAGACCACCAACCUUCUGGACCCGAUUUUUUAUUGACUUUUGCUCACAUAUACAGAUGAUGUCAUUUUCUAGCAUGAAGAAAUUAACCGAACUCCAUUAAUUCUGAUAUAUAAAGUACAUUGCACAUGUAUAUCUCUUCCUGGAAGCAGCAUGACCAGGAUGCAUGGGUGAUACUUAAAAGUCUUAAAUAAAAUUUCCAAGUCACUGAAUUGAAAAUAGAUGUAGCUUAUGACAGCUGUGAAGAAGAAUUAGGGCAUACACUCAAAAGUCAAAUAAACCAGUAAAAAAAGGAAGAUGAAGCUUCCUAUCAAGAGUAAGGUUAUGUUUGGUCCAAGCAAGGAAAAAAACAAUUGUUCAAUAAAAUUAUUUUUUCAAUUUGGUUAUAUGAAAAUUUUCAAAAAAAAAACCAAAUAUAAUUCAAAUUAAUUAAAAACUUAUACAUUUUUAAAUUACUUAAUCUUUAUAUUGAUGAGUUAAAAUAAAUAUAAUAAGUUUGAGUUAGUAAAUAAAAGUAAUUUAUCGACUUCAAUUUUAUUUUUUAUUUUUAUUCAUAUUUUUGCUAUCUAUAUUUUUUUUCUUGCAUUUUCUCUCAAAUUUUUCGGGAAGCAAACAUAGCCUAAGAAUUUAUUCAUGAAAUUUUUUUUAAAUACUUAAUUCGUUUUUACAUCAUUUCAGAGGGUUAACAUAUAAAAGCAAACUAUAUUUUAUAAAAUUCAGUAGUUGAGGUUCAACAUGUAAUAUGGUUUUAUAAUGCUCUUUUUUUCAAUGUAUAUUUUAUGAUAUUAGAGUAGUGGCAUUGGUAACUAAUUAUUAAAAGAUACUUCGCAAGAAAUGAGCCAAAUACUCAACACAAAGUAGUCAACAAUAUUAAUUACUUCAGCAACCUUGAUGUAAGGGAAUCCAGCACAUUACAAGGAUUAUUGAAUUUUUCAAUUUUCAAAAUAUAUUUUUUGGAGAAGAAACAAAUAAUGAUAUUUAAUUAUAAGAUCAAUGAUUAUUUGUAACGAAUUUGUUAUUUAGUAGUAGGAUGGAUUUACUGCUGGUUGUGGGUGAGUAUUGAGAUAUUUAAUUCAACAUUCUAUAUAUAUAUGUCACAGUUGCUACAAAUUUUCUAUAAUAGUAAUAAAGCAGAAAUUUUAUUAUUUUUUUAACUUUUUAUUGAAAGUAAUUCUCUCAAAUUUCAAAUUAUUUCUUUUUUCUUUUUUUUUUUAAUUUAUUACUUAUUUCUUAAAUUUUUUUUAUUGAACAGAAAAUAUCAAAAUAUUUGGCUUUUUUUAAUGCUAUAAAUAACACUUGUGCUUUGUUUAUGUUUUUUUUACAAUUUAAUACUUAAUAAAAAUAAAAUAUUAAAAAAAUAAACAAUUUAAUAUUUAAUACUAUUAAACAUUAUUUAGCUUAAAUUCUAUUUAGAAUUAAGUAAAGAAAAACAAACACGGUCUAAGUCUUUUUAUAUUGACAUUUUAGUUAAACUCAAGUGCAAAAAGUGGCUUAUAGCAUAAUGAGUACUUCUUUGAUUGUGUUAAUCACCAAAAAUGUCAAGGUGGAUUUACUCCUUAUAGAUUGCAUAGAACACUUAAUUUUUCCUUUUAUAAAAAGAAGCAAGUAUAAUCUUAAGAAAUUGCAUCAAUGCAAAAAAACAGAUUGGAACUCUAAAAGACUUGUUGCUUUUAUCUCCUUGAUUGCAAGUUCAUUUACAUAUCUUUAGCCUGUGGACACCUUUAGAGCUAAGGAAAUCCUUGGAUUUAUGUCUUGUUACCGUGUGACCAUGAUAUUUUAUUAAUCGUUGUACACGGUGGAUCACAAUGCGUUAAUUGAGCCAUAUUUUGUAAGUAUGGUUUUUUACUUAAGUUAUAAUCACUUUUAGAUUACACUUGAUUCCUUAAUAAAAAGUAAAAUUUAUCUCCUGUUGGCAUUAUUUUGUGAUAUCCAUUAAAGAACUUAUGAGAAAAUAUAUUAUUUAGCAUUUCAUGUUUAAUACAUAAAUCUUUUAUGCUUAGAGAAGACAAUGGGACAGUGUUUUUUUUUUUUUUUUUUUUUUUUUUUUUUUUUUGUGCCCACCCUACCCCAACCCUAAUGGUAUAAGUUUAAAAUUUAAAUAAAUGGGUUUUGGACGGGUUUGAGAUUUUUUUAAAAACUCAAGACGGAUUCGAGACAGGUUUGAGUAUUGUCUUGUUCUACCCCAUUCCACCCGAUUAUAUAUAAAAUUUAAUUUUUAAAGUAAUUUAAUUUAAUUUUUAUUUUCCUACUUUUAAUAUAUAUAUAUAUAUAAUAACAAAAUACUUUUAUAAUAGGUUUUAAUAUUUUAAUUAUUUAUAAAAUAUAUUUAUUUUAAUGUAAUUAAAAAAAUAUUUAAAUUUAAAAAAAAAAAAGUUAAAGAGGACAAGGCAUGUCGGGUAUGGGAAUUUCUCAUACCCACCCCACUCUAUUUAAUUUUUUUUAAUGGGACGGGGAUGGGAAAUAUUUUAACCCAUUCCAAAUCCGUCUCGUUGUCAUCUCUAUUUAUGCUCAUUUGAAUUUAAAGUAAAAUGGAAAAAAAAUAAAAAGAAAAUAUAAGUAAAUAAAAAUUCAAGAGAAAAAAAAAUACAUCUAAACUUCUUGAAUCCUUUUUAUGUUUUUUUUUAAUAAUUUUAUUAUGUUUAUUUUCCCUUCUUAAUUUUCGAGUUAAGCCAAAUCGAAUAAUUUGAAUUUUUACACAAUUCCUUUUUAUAAUUUUUGCUAUGAUCCAAUCGGAGGAGUCUUAGAGAUCCAAAUUUCUCAUGAUUCAAUAACAACAAUGGGUCUCCCAUCUUCAACAACACUAGAAAGGCAACCAACCUUGAUCCUUUGUAGUAGUGGUCACCAUCCUAGAUUUGCUCAUUGACAAUAGCCGGUUCUCGAACGUAGGGACCACAAAUCAUGUGACCAAUGAUUUGAGCAAUCUGAAUCUUAGGUCUGAGUAUCAAGACACAAACAACGUUUACAUGGGUAAUGGUGUAGGUUUGGCAAAAUGGUAGGAAGAUGAAGCUGCAAAGAGUUUAUGUUUAAUUAUAAUUAUUUAUAUUUGAUUAUACAAGAAUAUAUUCAUCAAACAAAUUUUCUUUUGAUUUUUAUACACUUUAUAUAUAAUUUUAAAGGAUUUAUGCUGAUAAAAUAUGAGAUUAAUUCAAUGGUUCAACUGAUCCAAACAAAGCAAAUUUUGGUGCAAUUAGUGCAAUUGAAAAUUUCUUAAGCAAUAAAUGGAAAUCAAAUUAAUAGUAAAUUUCAUCAUCUAAUUGAUUUGGUUGACCUGCAACUAAGGUUUGAUUUAAUGAAUAUAUAUUAUUAUUGUACAAAUAAGCUCUGUGCUUAUUUGAUUUUUCUGAUGCAAAAAGAACUUUUGUAGAGAAAAAGAAAAUUGAGUGAUAGUUUGAUAGAAGAACAGUCCAUAUGUUAUAGGACACUUGCUAUUUACCCUUGAAAUUUAUAUAUAUAUGCAUUCCCCCAUUGAAUGUUCGUUUCUUUGAUGAUCAUCUAAGUAGUUGAUAUCAGUCAAAUAUUUUAUAAAAACACUUGUAUUGUUCUUGCUCAAAUUAACUUUAAAUUAUUUACUUUAAAAUGAAUUAUUAUUAGUGUUAAGUAGCCAUAAUUCUUUUUUUUUCUUUUUCUUUUUUCUUUUUUAUCUUCUUCAUAAAAAUUAAGAAACAUGGCUCAUAAACUCUCAAAACUCAAUUUUGUUAAUUUUUAAUAUUCUUCUUGGAUUAUCUUUUUCUAAGAUUUAGAGAUAUUUGAUUUAUUAUUUGUAUUUGAUGAUGCCAAGGGUUUUUAUCUUUUUUAAUAAUUUGAUUUUAAUUUCAAUAGGAAUCCUUUAUCUAGAAAUGUAGGUUUUUUAAAAUGUGUUUGAGAGUGUUUUUAUUUAAAAUGUUUUUAGUUGAAAUGAUUUUAUAGAAGUGUUUUUUACAGAAUCACCUAUCAAGUGCUUCUUCAAAAAGCACUAUAAGUAAUUUUUUUAACUUUUUAAUCACAAUAGGCUAGAGUUCUUCUCUCGUUGUGGUUGUUGCAUUGCCUCUAAUGUAUUCCUCCUUAUACAUAUUGGGUCUCUUAAGAUGAAAAGCAAUAAAGAUACAACCUAUUCGCAAACUCCCUAUACAGACUUCCCUCCAUGGUGGAAUAUCAUGAGGCUUGACCAAGGAGUUUAUGUGAUUCCCUUUUGUCAUGCAUGGGUGACACUUCACUAUUUGCAUAAAAAAUCAUUAGGUCAUCUCUACAUAUGUUGAAUCUUUUGUGGUAUUUCAUGUUGAUAGAUCAAUGUUCUUCAAUGGUGCUAAGAAUUGCUAGGUUUGACAAUAUAUUAAUGGGUACAUUGUUUUCCCUCAUUAUUUGCUCAAUUUGGAAGUUAUCAAACCACUAGCUUCCAAUUUGGCUUAGGUUAGGUAUGCUUCCAUCCAUUCAUCUUUGGUUUCAUAUUGGGUUAAAACUUGGCAAACCAUGAAUUUAUAAUCAGGAUAGACUUGAAACACUUACGAGCUCUAAGUAGGUGCAUGGUUUCUAACUUAUAAAGAAGGGCCUUAUAUUUAGCUUCAUUAUUGGAUGCUUUGAAACCUCAUGCAAUACUUUUUUCAAUGAUUCCAUAAAUGAAUCCAAUGUUUGCACCCUUCUAACUAGAGGUUUUAUCCGCAUAUAGGAUUAUAUGGAGGUUGUAUACAAUAGAUAGCAAGUCAUAGGCCCAAGUACUUAGUGUCUCAUUUUUAUUUACAUGGGGAUGAAUAGGAGUGUAGUUGACUCAAUGUAGUGGGAUAUUGAGUCAACUUCAAAAUUGGAUUCUAAAGGGGUCAAGACUGUCCUAUGGGUUCUAAUGGUCCUCAUUUGAGCUCAUAUAUCUUGUUGGGACUGUUUAUGAAGGUUGGAUUGACUCUUGGUUCAUUUAUGUACAUAAGGAUGUUUUGGUAAUUUCGCAAGGUUGCAUAAGAGUUAGUGAACGACAUUUUUAGAUUGGCCUAAUUGAUUAAUUAGACAACCUUAUUGGGUUAAUUAAUCAAUUAUAAUCCUUUUUGAGCUAGAUCAAGUGACCUAAGCCUAUGGUGGGCUCAAGUCACUUAAGCCUAGUAAGAAUUUUAUAAAUAGCCCCUUAAGGGUUAAGGUUUCAAGUUUUUUCUUCUGUUCAUUCUUUGAAUUUCAAAUAAGGAUUCCUAGUCUCUACCCUCCAAACUUUCACCAUUUGAAUGCCAAGCUUCAAGGUUGAGUCAUCCGGUGGAAGGACGUGGGUCUACGAGACUUCCAACGACUUCGUUUUGUUCUUCACCAAAAGAAAACAGUUUGGGAAUUCCAUAUCAAUUGUAAGCACACUAAACUUUUUUUCAAAAUCCUAGAAAAAAAUUUUGAUGCAUGUAUUCCAAUAUGCAUAGGAUUUAGAAAAGCCUAGGGAGUUUUACAUGUAUCUAACCUAAUCCUAAGACAAGAAACGGAACAAUCCAAAAUUCUCUUUAAGAUGUUGGAAUGCAAUUAACUCUCUACGGUAGAAUGUUAAAUCAACUUCAAAAUUAGAUUUUGAAUGAGCUUCUAUAUCUUUUAUGGUUCCCAAUAGUUCCUACUAGAGCUCACACUCCUUGAUGGCAUAUUGAGGGAUAUUUGGGUUUCAAUUCAUAUGUGUGCAUCAGAGUAUUUCAAUAAAAAUGUAAGGUUGCACAAGGGCUUAUAAAUUGUCUUUCUACAAUAGGUUAAUUAAUUAAUUGUAGCCUAAUAGGACUAAUUAAUUAAUUACAACCCAGUGAGUUAAAAUAAGCAAUGCAAGCCCGAGAUAGGCUCAAAUCACUGAAACUUACAAGGAGUCUAUAUAAACACUCUUAAGAUUUAGAGUUAGAUAGUCUAGCUUAUUACUGUCUUCUAAAGAGAACCCUAGCCCUUAUCCCUCUAGAGAAAAGUUCUCCCUUCUCCAUUGCUAAGAUCCAAGGAAGAACCAUCAAUUGAAAGAUCUUUAUGUCUUUGAGAUAGUUCUUCAUUGAUUGGAAUAGACGUGGAAACAUCCAAAUCUUAGCUAUGUGAUCUUUAUUGUUUUUUAUAACCUUUAAUAAAGUUUUAAGGGCCUAUCUAUUAAUUUAUACUGCACUUAGGAUCUUAGUUGCAUGCACCCUUAAGAGAUCCAAGGCUUGGAUUAGAUUUAUCCAAGAAUCCAACCAGUAGGCUUUUCCUAUUGUUUUGCAGCUUUUUGCCACAUACUUCCAAAGGUGGUUGGAGGUAUCUAUUUAGCGACAAUUGUUAGAUAAUGACUACUUUAGAGGUCAUCAUCGUAUGUCAAGGCCCUCAUUUUUGGGUUGGGUGAUUUUUUGGACCUUCAAUCCUUGUACCAUCAUUUUGUAUCAUCAACUAGAGCUGGCUAGUUCUCUUUUUCUAGCCUCUGAAUCAAGCUCUUUCACUCCUAAAAUCCUCCAUUCCUUCUUUUUGACCAAUUCCUAAUAUAAUCAGACUAAAUCUCAUGUUCAUGGUAUUGCUCACCCUAUGAUUACUCAAUCCAAGAAAUUGUUAUUUAAGCCUAAGGUCUACUUGACUAUUAAUUUUACCAUUGUGGAGCCUAGCACUAUGCAAGAAGCUUUACAAAUUCAUCAUUAGAUGGAACCUAUGGAAUAAGGGUAUACUGCCUUAAUUAAAAAUAAGAUCUAAUCUCCAAUUCAAAAGUUAAUUGAUAGAAGAAUAGUUUGUUGCAAAUGGGUAUUCAAAAUCAAAAGGAAUCCUAAUGAGACUAUACAACAGUACAAGUCACAAUUGAUGGCUAAAAGAUAUUAGUAAUCUCCUGGUUUUAAUUUCAUUGAGACCUUCGGUCCAAUGGUUAAACUGACAACAAUUCAUGUGGUGCUAAUAACUUUAGAUAGAAAUUGGGAGAUCAAACAAUUGGAUAUAAAUAAUGCACUCUUGAAUGGGAUCCCCCAAGAACUGUAUUUUUGGAUCAAUCUCUUAGGUUUGAACAACAUGAUCAAUACGAACUUCUAGUACACAAGCUACAUAGUACUAUAUGGCUUGAAACAAGUCUCACAAGUUUGGUUUGACAAUCUUAGAUCAUCACUGUAGAACUAAAUCUUAUCUCCUCGAGUUUUCUUUUCAUUCUAUUAUUGUCCUCUUGAAUAAAAACUGCUCUCUUAAGGAUCUUGGAUCCCUUAACUACUUAGAAAUUAAGGUAAAGAAAACAGAAAUUGGAAGUUUACUUCUUUCUCGAGAAAAAAAUAUAACAGAACUCCUACAUAAAGCUCAUAUGGACAUAGAGCAUUUUCCACUUCAAUGAUGCGAACUCUACAGAUUGCUUAUGAUGAUGACUCUAUGAAGAAUCCAACACUACUUAUAGAAGCCAAGAGGAUGCAUGUAGUAUGUAACUAUUACCAAACGCGAGAUUGCCUAAUGUAAACAAGGUAUCUUAAUAUAUGCAACACCCUUCAUAUUGUCAUUGGAAGUCUGUAAAGAGCAUCCUAGGUAUCUGAAAGCGACUAUUGAUUUUGGAAUUCAUUGGCAUCAGAUCCACAUAAUAGAAAAUCUAAUCUGGAUUUUGUAUCUUUCUUAGCAACAAUCCUAUCACCUGGAGCUCAAAGAAGGAAACUACAAUCUCAAGAUCAAGCACUAAGGCUGGAUAUAGAUGUCUAGCUAAUUCUACAGAAAAAAUAGUUUGGCUUCAAUCCUUUAUCAAAGAACUUAGCAUUCUACAAACCAAAGUUCCAAUUCUUUAGUGUGACAAUCUAAUUGUUGUUUCUUUAAGUGCUAAUUUUGUCUAACAUUUAGAACCCAAUGUAUGGAACUUGACUUAUAUUUUGUUCAAGAAAUUAAGAUCCUUGAGAAUUUCUUUUAUCAUAUUGUUGAUAUCUUCACCAAACCACGGUCUACUGCCUAUGUGGUGUCACCCACCAACCACACUCAACUUGAGGGGGCUAUUGGAGAUGAUGCAAGAAGAUAGAAAAGAUGAAACUGAAACUCUGCCCUCUUUGUUAGAGAAGCAAGAGAGAGAAAUUGAAUAUAUAUAUAUAUAUAUGUAUUGUUCAAACAACUCUAUUACAACAGAUGGAGACAGACUGUAAUACCAGCUAGUACAACUAAAAUACAGUUGGUAAAAUAACAAACGAAUAACAAUAAAGCUAACAAAUAACAAGUGGGCUUCAUCUCGUGAGAUCAAUAACUAACUCCUCUUUUCUUGGCUUAUCAUCCCCCCUCAAGUGAAAGGGUCUUAGAGCUAUACAAAGCUGAGAUUUGAGGGACAAGAACCUUGAACUUGUGAGAUGCUUAGUCAAUAAAUCUGUUGGCUGCUCUUUAGUGGGAACAAAGUGCAGUUGUAUCUUUCCUCUCAUGACUUGAUCUCAUAUAAAAUGAAGGUCUAUUUCUAUGUGUUUAGUUCUAGCAUGAAACACAAGGUUCUUUGCCAUAUGGUAAGCACUGAUAUUAUCAUACCAAAGUAGAGAUAUUGCAGAUAUUGGCACACAUAGCUAUUGCAGUAAGACUUGUAUCCAAACAAUCUCAAUCGUAGCGAAAACAAGGCCACGAUACUCAGACUCUACACUAUUGCAAGACACUACUUUUUGUUUGGUAGAGGACCAAGAGACUAAGUUACCUCCUAGAUAAACGAGAUAUCCACUUGAGUUGCCCCUAUCAUCAAGGUGAACACCCCAAUCUGCAUCUGUGAAUCCCUAUAUUGUCAAGUUACUUGAAGGACUUAACAGGAGCCCAUCUUGCAUUGUUCCUCUUAGAUACUGAAGUAUUCGUUUGACUGAGAGCCAGUGAGUUGUGGUUGGGUGUUACAUAAAUUGUCAUGCCUUAUUGACAACAAAGGCUAUAUCAGGUCUUGUCAAGGUAACAUACUGAAGUGCCUCUACUACACUUCGAUAAUGAGUAACAUCUGCCAUAGGAUCUCCAUCAAAUUUAGACAAGUUCUUCCCAACAGCACCAGGUGUUUUUACCGGUUUGGUAUCAAACAUUUCAGUUCUAUGAAGCAGAUCUGAAAUGUAUUUGGUUUGGCUCAAAUGCAUAGAGCCUUCAUUGUAAGAAACCUCUAUACCGAAAAAGAAUGAGAGUUAACCCAAGUCGCGUAAGGCAAAAACUAAAUCAAGUUUAGCUAUGAGAGAAUAAAUCUAUGUGGAGGAGCUACCUGUUUUGAUUAUAUCAUCAACAUAGACAAGAACUAUCAAAGUAGUGGCCUGACCAAAGUGUAGAAACAUAGAACUAUCAGUCCGAGACAUGUUGAAUCCCCACUGAAGAAGAGCAUAGCUGAGUCUUUGAAACCAAGCUCGUGGGACUUGUUUCAAGCCAUAUAAAGCCUUCUUCAAUCUACACACUCUAUUUGGGAAUUGAGUGUCGAAGUAUCCAGGAGGUUGAGACAUAUAGACUUGUUCUUCUAACUCACCAUUGAGGAAGGCAUUGUGAACAUCAAGCUGCCGAAUUUCCCACUUAAAACUGAGAGCAACAGUAAGUAUGAUGCGAAUAGUGGCAACCUUAACUACUGGACUAAAGGUCUCAAAAUAGUCCAGACUAUGAGUCUGAUUAUAUCCUUUUGCCACAAGCCUAGCUUUAUACCUCUCUCUACUCCCAUCUGGCUUAUGUUUCAGUUUAUACACCCACUUAUAGCCAAUCACAUUGACAUCGGGUGGUUGUUCAACAAGAUCCCAAGUAUGGUUUCGAUGAAGAAUAGCAAUCUCCAUUUCCAUAGCUUUAGUCCAGUUUGGAUCUUUGAAGGCCUGUUUAAGAGUAGAUGGUUCUGAAACCUUUAUGGUAGAGAGAUCAAGAAUGGUCUUUUUCUUGGUUAUACCACGCAUGGACCUUGUUGUCAUUCGUGGAGCAGGAGCAGUGACUUGAGGUUCUGGAACAGAUUCAGCUGGCAAAUCUGUAGUAGGAGAUUAACUAGAUGUGUCCAGAGGUGAAGAAGAGUCUAUAGGAAUAGGACUUUCACUUAUGGAUAGAGAAUGAGAAUCUAUGGAAGCAUGAUUGAUAUUUGAAUCUGGGAGAAGACAUGGAGUAGGAAAAUAAGUAGGAACUAUAAUGGCAGGGGUAGAGCCUUCUGUUGAAGUAUCAUUAGACAAAAUGGAAGACUUGGACUGAGCAAGUGGGAAAGUUGAUUCAUCAAAGACCAUGCGGGGAGUAAUAUAGACUCUUCCAGUUGCAUAAUCAAGACAUAAAAACCCCUUGUGAUUCAAACUAUAGCCAUGAAAAAGACAUUGGACAGAUCUGUACUGCAAUUUAUGAGUGUUGUAUGGCCGAAUGAAAGGAUCACAGAGGCAGCCAAACACACGAAGAGAUUUAUAAUCAGGAUGCCUUCUAAAAAGAGUGAAAGAAGGAGAAUCAUACUUGAGAACUUUGCUUGACAUUUGAUUGAUAAGAAAAGUUGUUGUCUGAAAAGCGUAGUGCCAGUACUUCAUUGGCAAGGAAGCAUGAGAUAACAAAGCUAACCCAGUCUCAACUACGUGUCUGUGCUUCCGCUCAACUCUACCAUUUUGAGCUGAGUUGUAUGGACAGGAGAAUCGAUGGGCAAUACCAACUGCUUGAAGAAAAGACAUAAAAGAUCGAAAUUCUCCACCAUUAUCAGACUGUAAGUACUUAAUUUUCAUGUCAAAUUGAUUCUCCAUUUGAAGCUUGAAUCGCUUAAAGAUGGGAAGGGCCUGAUCCUUUGUUUGUAAUGAAUAAAACCAAGUGUACCUGGAAUAAUCAUCUACAAAAAGAAUGAAAUAUUUCGCUCCAGAUGUAGAUUUAACUAAGGCAGGUCCCCAAAUACCCGUAUAAACAAGUUCUAAAGGUUUAGAUGCACGAAAAUUUGAGAGUUGAGUGGGUAGUCUAUGACUUUUAGCUAACUGACAAUCAAAACAAAUAGUAGAUUUAUAUUUCCCAGAAGCAACAUUACAAGUAUUCAUGACUUUUGAAACAAUGUCAGGAGCAACAUGGCAUAGUCUAUUAUGCCAUAACUCUACUUUAUUUUCAACAGUACUAGAAAAAUGGGAAUGAAAAGCAGAAGCAUUAUUAAUACUACUGCAAGGUUUCUUGUUGCUGAACACAGGAAACUUGUAAAGCCCAUUUUCAAGCUUACCUUGAGCAAGAACCAUCUUCGUAUGUCAAUCCUUCACAAAGAAAGCAUUAGAAUGAAACUCAAUCAAGGCAUUAUUAUCUGAGUAGAACUUAGCCACACUAAUCAAAUUAGUUGAGAUAAAGAGGACAUGAAACACAUUCUUGAGUUGAAAAGAAUGUGUAUGAGAAUGAAGUUGUUUAGAGCCAAUAUUGGAGAUGGAGAGAUGCUUACCAUUACCAAUAGUGACUCUAUCUGUUCAUGUGUAUGGUGAAGUACUGGUUAGAUUUCCCAAAUUCUGAGUCAGAUGGUGACUUGCUCCAGAAUCCAAAUACCAACUCUCAUCUGUAGGACUAUUAAAAGAAGAAGCAACCAUAGCAGGUAUAUUGUUUUGAUUCCCAUUAUUCAAAGAAUGAGAAGUAGUCGUCUGACCACCUUGAAAAGAGAUAUCAAACCUAUGAUAACAUAUCUGAGCAGUGUGGCCAAACUUACCACAUAACUGACAUUGAGGUUUCUCACUUGGACUGGAAUUUUUCCUUCCACCUUGUCCAUUUCUACCUCCACGUCCACAACCUCUGUAGGUGUAAUUAUUGUUAUUUGGAGCAUAGCCUUGUCCACGACCUCCAUUAAACUUCCUUCCACCACCUAUGUUAUUAGAGGAAGAGGCAUAAUUGGCAGACAUUUGUUCAAUAGAGCUUUGUUGCUCAAGAUGAUGCUCAAAGGCUAAUAGCGUACUAUGUAUAGCUUCAAAAGAGAUCUUAUCAUCUCUAAUGUUGAUAGCAGUAACAACGACAUUGUAGUCGGAUCCAAGACCUCUAAGAAGAUUCAUAACCUGAUCUUGUUUUGAGACAGGUUCUCCAAUAGCAACUAGAUUAUCAGCAGCUCCUUUGAUCUUCAUUAUGUAGUCUAUCAUUUACAUUGAUCCUUUCUUUGUGGAUUGUAAUUCGAGUCUGAGUUGCAUUAUCCUAGCUCCUGAAGAAGGUGAAAAAAAUACUUUCCAAGGCAUUCCUAGCAGAGUGAGAAGUAUUAUGGCCUAUGAUCUGUGCCAUGAUACUUGGUGUGAGCAACGAGUACAUCCAGCUGAGGAUUGUUCAAUCUUGUCUCCUCCAAGCAACAAAAGCUGGAUUGAUCACUCCUGGACUCGGAUCUUUCUCCGGACAGAUAGAGGUUCCAUCAAUGAAAUCCUCAAAGCCAUUAGCAAAAACAACAUUAUCAAUAUGAGAUCUCCACAGGAUGUAAUUCGUCCGAUCAAGUUUCACAGGCAGAGUGUGAUUAAGCAUCUGAUAAGAAGGAAUGGAUGCCAUUGUUGAGCUUUUUCCAGAUCCAAUCGAACCAGAGGAAGAAGAAGAUUGUGUUGAAGUAGAGGCCAUGUUUGGAUCGAGAGAAACAGAGAGAAAGUGAGAAAGAGAAGAAAAAUUCACACCUUGAACGUGAGCUCUGAUACCAAGACAGAAAAGAUGAACUAAAACUCUGCUCUCUUUGUUAGAGAAGCAAGAGAGAGAAAUUGAAUAUAUAUAUUGUUCAAAGAACUCUAUUACAAUAGAUGGAGACAGACUGUAAUACCAGCUGGUACAACUAAAUUAAUACAGUUGGUAAAAUAACAUACCAAUAACAAUAAAGCUAACAAAUAACAAGUGGGCUUCAUCUCAUGAGAUCAGUAACUAACUCCGCUUUUCUUGGCUUAUCACAAGAUUUGCUCCAUAACCGAAGAAAAAUUAGUCGUUGUCUAUUCUAGAAUAUUCAAUGCAGCAGAAUUGUAUAGGGAUUGCAACAUCAUAAAAACAAUGUUUGAUCAAUGCUGAGAAGUAAGCAAACUUCAUUUUUUGAUAAUAUUUUACUCCAUACAUACUUGAACUGAAAACCUAACAUGAGGUAUUGUCAAAAUAACAUCGAUCUUAAUCUGGCGAUAAUAAAGAUUAAAAGCAUAUGAGGCAGACAUGCGCUAACAGAUGCAUGAAACUCAUGGGCUGCUAGGUAGAGGUGGUGGUGGUGGUGGUGGAGAUAGUGAAUGUGGUGAUGAUUGCAGUAGCCCAACAUGAGGUGGUGAGGGAGGAGGCACAUAAAAUUGAUGCGGCUUCCCAGGCUGAGGAGGAGGCUUCCACAUGGGACUCCCAACUCGAUCUGGGUAUACCUUCAUUUGCUUCAACAAUCGAUUUGAAGCAGCGGGCACAAAAUCCAUAUCAGAAGCAGCUUCUAAGGGUCGUGCCAUCGCCACGUAGCUCUUACCUGUGUGACUGAUCUGCAACACCACACUAUGAAUUAAUAUAACUAAAAGCAAGAAAAGAGCAUUCAUUGCAGUCACUUUGCUAUGGCAUUAUGCUUGAUCUUAUGUAUAUAUUAUAUAGAUGGAGAGGUCAAUUAGUUGACUCAUUGCUCGAGAAAUAUCAGAUAUGUUACCAA
Molecule: long non-coding RNA, 15545 nt
Filed under: Vitis vinifera (wine grape)
Lineage: Eukaryota; Viridiplantae; Streptophyta; Magnoliopsida; Vitales; Vitaceae
Description: long non-coding RNA (VVIN_LNC004548)
Source: RNAcentral